AAAAAAUGUGUUUGAGUUUUUCCAUACCAUCUUAUGGAAAAACUUGAAUGAACCUUUUGG
Molecule: microRNA precursor, 60 nt
Organism: Bison bison bison
Lineage: Eukaryota; Metazoa; Chordata; Mammalia; Artiodactyla; Bovidae
Source: Ensembl